UGCAUGAAGUUGGAAUUGCUAGUAAUCGCGAAUCAGAAUGUCGCGGUGAAUACGUUCCCGGGCCUUGUACACACCGCCCGUCACACCAUGAGAGUCGAUAACACCCGAAGCCUGUGAGCUAACCGCAAGGGGGCAGCAGUCGAAGGCGGGGUUGAUGAUUGGGGUGAAGUCGUAACAAGGUACC
RNAcentral lists this ribosomal RNA (184 nucleotides) under uncultured bacterium. Its description in RNAcentral is "partial 16S ribosomal RNA". It matches the Rfam family "Bacterial small subunit ribosomal RNA", at positions 1317 to 1500 of the family's 1533-position model. The record is from RNAcentral.